CCGAUGUCAAGGAAAGAAACGACUACCUGACUUUUAGAAGACACCUGAAGAUCCUGUAAGACAGGCGCCGACACGGAAAACAGCUGCGAACCGUGAGGCAGAUGUACUGAUACAGUUUGUCUUCCGCGACUGAGGGAAGUGAUGGAGGAUGUAAUGAAGGUGAUUAAUACUAAGGAAGUUGAGGAAGGAGCCACAUUCCACAAUGUCUGCAGAAUUCUCACAAAAAGUGGGUGAGACUGGAUUUCUGCCCUGUGUUUACUCUCUGUAGAAAUACCUCCCCCC
Podarcis muralis (Common wall lizard) is the source of this 282-nucleotide non-coding RNA. NCBI's taxonomy places the organism in Eukaryota, Metazoa, Chordata, Lepidosauria, Squamata, Lacertidae. The record is from RefSeq and is a predicted model, not a curated record.